This 28-nucleotide small RNA is filed under the name Bombyx mori (domestic silkworm). Its description in RNAcentral is "ovarian small RNA-16581". Lineage: Eukaryota; Metazoa; Arthropoda; Insecta; Lepidoptera; Bombycidae. The record is from RNAcentral.
GCCAAACGUAACUAAACAGGGCUGCCCC